RNAcentral lists this ribosomal RNA (484 nucleotides) under uncultured bacterium. RNAcentral's name for it is "partial 16S ribosomal RNA". It matches the Rfam family "Bacterial small subunit ribosomal RNA", at positions 30 to 507 of the family's 1533-position model. The record is from RNAcentral.
AUUGAACGCUGGCGGCAGGCCUAACACAUGCAAGUCGAGCGGAUGAAGGGAGCUUGCUCCUGGAUUCAGCGGCGGACGGGUGAGUAAUGCCUAGGAAUCUGCCUGGUAGUGGGGGAUAACGUCCGGAAACGGGCGCUAAUACCGCAUCCGUCCUGAGGGAGAAAGUGGGGGAUCUUCGGACCUCACGCUCUCAGAUGAGCCUAGGUCGGAUUAGCUAGUUGGUGGGGUAAAGGCCUACCAAGGCGACGAUCCGUAACUGGUCUGAGAGGAUGAUCAGUCACACUGGAACUGAGACACGGUCCAGACUCCUACGGGAGGCAGCAGUGGGGAAUAUUGGACAAUGGGCGAAAGCCUGAUCCAGCCAUGCCGCGUGUGUGAAGAAGGUCUUCGGAUUGUAAAGCACUUUAAGUUGGGAGGAAGGGCAGUAAGUUAAUACCUUGCUGUUUUGACGUUACCAACAGAAUAAGCACCGGCUAACUUCGUG